Molecule: ribosomal RNA, 206 nt
Filed under: uncultured bacterium
Lineage: Bacteria
Description: partial 16S ribosomal RNA
Rfam family: Bacterial small subunit ribosomal RNA
Source: RNAcentral
AGCGCAGGCGGGAAGACAAGUUGGAAGUGAAAUCCAUGGGCUCAACCCAUGAACUGCUUUCAAAACUUUUUUCUUGAGUAGUGCAGAGGUAGGCGGAAUUCCCGGUGUAGCGGUGGAAUGCGUAGAUAUCGGGAGGAACACCAGUGGCGAAGGCGGCCUACUGGGCACCAACUGACGCUGAGGCUCGAAAGUGUGGGUAGCAAACA